AAUCCUCAAAAGAAAAGCUUAACUGCUUUCUCUUUUGGAAUUGGAGUGUGCUGGCCUUCUGUUGGGAAGCCCAGCUCCUCUGAAAUACAUUAGCGAUGUGACAUCCGCAUGGCACCAUGCUUAUCUGGCAUUGAUAGUAUCUUCAUGCCUGAGUGUGUUGUGCAGCUGUGGAAAGCUUUGCUCGCUCAUAGCCUGAUGGGUCAGCCCAUCCUUUGACCA
RNAcentral lists this unclassified non-coding RNA (219 nucleotides) under uncultured Hygrocybe. RNAcentral describes it as "sequence contains ITS2". The record is from RNAcentral. Lineage: Eukaryota; Fungi; Basidiomycota; Agaricomycetes; Agaricales; Hygrophoraceae.